GGGGGGGUCUACAUGACAGGUCGAACGGGGGGUGCCAUGAACGAAGCAUCAGUUUACUGAUAUGGAGGGAAUGGGACCCUAGUGGCGGACGGGUGAGUAACGCGUGGGUAACCUGCCCCAUACCGGGGGAUAACACUUAGAAAUAGGUGCUAAUACCGCAUAAGCGCACGGUACUGCAUGGUACAGUGUGAAAAACUCCGGUGGUAUGGGAUGGACCCGCGUCUGAUUAGCUUGUUGGCGGGGUAACGGCCCACCAAGGCGACGAUCAGUAGCCGGCCUGAGAGGGUGGACGGCCACAUUGGGACUGAGACACGGCCCAAACUCCUACGGGAGGCAGCAGUGGGGAAUAUUGCACAAUGGGGGAAACCCUGAUGCAGCGACGCCGCGUGAGUGAAGAAGUAUUUCGGUAUGUAAAGCUCUGUCAGCAGGGAAGAAAAUGACGGUACCUGACCAAGAAGCCCCGGCUAACUACGUGCCAGCAGCCGCGGUAAUACGUAGGGGGCAAGCGUUAUCCGGAUUUACUGGGUGUAAAGGGAGCGUAGACGGCAGGGCAAGUCUGGAGUGAAAGGCGGGGGCUCAACCCCCGGACUGCUCUGGAAACUGCCAGGCUGGAGUGCAGGAGAGGUAAGUGGAAUUCCUAGUGUAGCGGUGAAAUGCGUAGAUAUUAGGAGGAACACCAGUGGCGAAGGCGGCUUACUGGACUGUAACUGACGUUGAGGCUCGAAAGCGUGGGGAGCAAACAGGAUUAGAUACCCUGGUAGUCCACGCCGUAAACGAUGAUCACUANGUGUCGGUGGGUA
Molecule: ribosomal RNA, 800 nt
Filed under: uncultured bacterium
Lineage: Bacteria
Description: bacterial SSU rRNA
Rfam family: Bacterial small subunit ribosomal RNA
Source: RNAcentral